Molecule: long non-coding RNA, 252 nt
Organism: Stegastes partitus (bicolor damselfish)
Lineage: Eukaryota; Metazoa; Chordata; Actinopteri; Pomacentridae
Exons: 3
Source: RefSeq, a predicted model, not a curated record
GGCUCCCAGUAUGCUAACAGACACUGUUGUCACCACAAGGAUUCAUGAACCGCACUGACUUAGAUUUUAACACUUUAAUUGAGACUUAGUCAUGUCUCAGGUUGAGAAGAAGGCAGGACUGUUGAGGAGGACGUCAUCCUCUAAAAAGCCCUUGAAGGAGAAGGUGGUUCUGAUGUAUGAUGAGAUUUUUGCAAAAGAAGACCCGGCCAAAAACAACCCUCGCUUUUGGGAUGAGCUGUUUCUCAUGAAGGU